UACGGGGGGGGCAAGCGUUGUUCGGAAUUACUGGGCGUAAAGGGCUCGUAGGUGGCCAACUAAGUCAGACGUGAAAUCCCUCGGCUUAACCGGGGAACUGCGUCUGAUACUGGAUGGCUUGAGUUUGGGAGAGGGACGCGGAAUUCCAGGUGUAGCGGUGAAAUGCGUAGAUAUCAGGAGGAACACCGGUGGCGAAGGCGGCUAUCUGGACAGAGUCUGACGCUGAGGUGCGAAAGCGUGGGGAGCAAACAGG
Molecule: ribosomal RNA, 253 nt
Filed under: uncultured bacterium
Lineage: Bacteria
Description: partial 16S ribosomal RNA
Rfam family: Bacterial small subunit ribosomal RNA
Source: RNAcentral